RNAcentral lists this ribosomal RNA (164 nucleotides) under uncultured bacterium. Its description in RNAcentral is "partial 16S rRNA". It matches the Rfam family "Bacterial small subunit ribosomal RNA", at positions 355 to 511 of the family's 1533-position model. The record is from RNAcentral.
UAGGGAAUCUUCCACAAUGGACGAAAGUCUGAUGGAGCAACGCCGCGUGAGUGAAGAAGGUUUCCGGAUCGUAAAGCUCUGUUGUUGGUGAAGAAGGAUAGAGGCAGUAACUGGUCUUUAUUUGACGGUAAUCAACCAGAAAGUCACGGCUAACUACGUGCCAC